ACACGGGGGGCGCAAGCGUUAUUCGGAAUUAUUGGGCGUAAAGGGCGUGUAGGCGGUUUUAUCGGUCAGAUGUGAAAGCCCAGGGCUCAACCCUGGACGUGCAUUUGAAACAGUAAGACUUGAGUACGGUAGAGGAAAGCGGAAUUCCUGGUGUAGAGGUGAAAUUCGUAGAUAUCAGGAGGAACACCGAUGGCGAAGGCAGCUUUCUGGACCGAAACUGACGCUGAUGCGCGAAGGCGUGGGUAGCGAACAGGAUUAGAAACCCUAGUAGUCC
This 274-nucleotide ribosomal RNA is filed under the name uncultured bacterium. RNAcentral's name for it is "partial 16S ribosomal RNA". It matches the Rfam family "Bacterial small subunit ribosomal RNA", at positions 523 to 796 of the family's 1533-position model. The record is from RNAcentral.